This 495-nucleotide ribosomal RNA is filed under the name uncultured bacterium. Its description in RNAcentral is "partial 16S ribosomal RNA". It matches the Rfam family "Bacterial small subunit ribosomal RNA", at positions 28 to 507 of the family's 1533-position model. The record is from RNAcentral.
GACGAACGCUGGCGGCGUGCCUAAUACAUGCGAGUAGAACGCUGAAGGAGGAGCUUGCUUCUCUGGAUGAGUUGCGAACGGGUGAGUAACGCGUAGGUAACCUGCCUGGUAGCGGGGGAUAACUAUUGGAAACGAUAGCUAAUACCGCAUAAGAGUAGAUGUUGCAUGACAUUUACUUAAAAGGUGCAAUUGCAUCACUACCAGAUGGACCUGCGUUGUAUUAGCUAGUUGGUGAGGUAACGGCUCACCAAGGCAACGAUACAUAGCCGACCUGAGAGGGUGAUCGGCCACACUGGGACUGAGACACGGCCCAGACUCCUACGGGAGGCAGCAGUAGGGAAUCUUCGGCAAUGGACGGAAGUCUGACCGAGCAACGCCGCGUGAGUGAAGAAGGUUUUCGGAUCGUAAAGCUCUGUUGUAAGAGAAGAACGAGUGUGAGAGUGGAAAGUUCACACUGUGACGGUAUCUUACCAGAAAGGGACGGCUAACUACGUG